Stylophora pistillata is the source of this 185-nucleotide long non-coding RNA. The record is from RefSeq and is a predicted model, not a curated record. Lineage: Eukaryota; Metazoa; Cnidaria; Anthozoa; Scleractinia; Pocilloporidae.
GUCUUCCCGAAGAUGUUUUUGGCAACCUUACUCGGAUGAAAAGGCUCUUUCUCUCCAGUAACAAACUUCAGCGUUUGCCAAAGUUAAAAAAUCUCUCCGAGAUAGAAACUUUAUACCUGGAAAACAACAGCCUCGUAACCCUGUCACCGGAUCAGUUCCAAGGCUUGUCCAAAUUGAAAGACCUG